This 514-nucleotide ribosomal RNA is filed under the name Lineidae sp. F HK-2021. Its description in RNAcentral is "partial 16S rRNA". It matches the Rfam family "Bacterial large subunit ribosomal RNA", at positions 1816 to 2597 of the family's 2925-position model. Lineage: Eukaryota; Metazoa; Nemertea; Pilidiophora; Heteronemertea; Lineidae. The record is from RNAcentral.
UAGCUUGUUGUAUUUUUAUAACAGGUGUUUUCUGCCCGGUGAUUUUUAAACGGCCGCGGUAUCUUGACCGUGCAAAGGUAGCAUAAUCAUUUGUCCUUUGAUUGGGGGCUGGAAUGAAUGGGAGUACGAGAUCUCUUCUGUCUCUUCUUUUGUGUUGGAAUUUGCUAUUUUUGUGAAGAAGCAAGAAUUUUUAAAAGGGACAAGAAGACCCUAUUAAGCUUUAUUUUUAAAAUUUGCAAUUGGUGGGCCUUUGAUUUUGGUAUCUCGUUGUUUUUGAAGAAUUUGGUUGGGGUGACCAAAGAAGAUUAAAUCUUCUUUGAAGAAAAAAACAGUGGGUUUAAUAUCGGGCCAAUGUUGUUUUGAUGAAAAGAACAAGUUACUAUAGGGAUAACAGCGUAAUUUUUUCGGAGAGUUCUUAUUGAAGAAGAAGAUUGCGACCUCGAUGUUGACUUGUCGUUUCCUAGCUUUAGGUGUAGCUGCUGGUAGGGUUGGUCUGUUCGACCAUUAAAAUGAC